UAAAAAGCUCGUAGUCGAACCUUGGGCCUGGCUGGCCGGUCCCCCUCACCGGGUGCACUGAUCCAGCCGGGCCUUUCCCUCUGUGGAACCCCAUGGCCUUCACUGGCUGUGCGGGGGAAACAGGACUUUUACUGUGAAAAAAUUAGAGUGCUCCAGGCAGGCCUAUGCUCGAAUACAUUAGCAUGGAAUAAUAGAAUAGGACGUGUGGUUCUAUUUUGUUGGUUUCUAGGACCGCCGUAAUGAUUAAUAGGGACAGUCGGGGGCAUCAGUAUUCAGUUGUCAGAGGUGAAAUUCUUGGAUCUACUGAAGACUAACUACUGCGAAAGCAUUUGCCAAGGAUGUUUUCAUU
This 349-nucleotide ribosomal RNA is filed under the name Scopulariopsis sp. IP251899. RNAcentral describes it as "SSU rRNA". It matches the Rfam family "Eukaryotic small subunit ribosomal RNA", at positions 620 to 974 of the family's 1831-position model. Lineage: Eukaryota; Fungi; Ascomycota; Sordariomycetes; Microascales; Microascaceae. The record is from RNAcentral.